CACAGGACAAUCUAAUUGUGAAACAUUUACAGUUGAAACAUCCAUAUUAUGGAAAAUAGUAUUAUUUUGUCAAGCAUUUUUUCAGCGAAUAAAAAUUUGGCAAACACCAACAAACCGGUGAAACCAAAAGAUCAAUGGCCACAAAGCCAUGGUUGUGCAAAAAAGCAGCAGGAAAACAGUAUGGCCAGGUGAUGAGGAAGUAGAAAAAAAACCAUGUCCUCCAAUAUUUGUAAGUAGUGUUGACACUUGUGUAGUUAUUAUGUGCAACUUGGGCAUUUGCUGUGUUAGUGGUGAUGUGUGCAGGGUCAAUUUACCACACCAGGGUCCGCUGUGAAUAUGACUGUUGUCCAAGAUCGAGAUGGGUCACUAUCUUUUUGACAUAUUGGGAGGAUUUCUGCUUUGAUGUAUCAACAAUGAACUAAGAAAGAUCAUAGCACUUAAUGGAAAGCAUUCAACCAUGAUUGCUUUAAUAUGCACAGAGGAAAAAAUAUGGCAUGACGUAAGGAUUGCUUUGACAGUCGAAUUCUGAUUGUUAAUUGUCCUUAUUUCAUUUAACAUUUAGAGUUCACCAACAGCGUCUCUCACUCCAAUCCAUUUGCAUUGGAGCCAUGUGGUGCAGUGACCAAGUGGAUCCAGCAGAUAGUGCUGCACCUACAGGGCUGGAGUGGAAGACUAAUGCGUACUUGUGUGACGCGUUCACGAGAGUGAGGAGACCGCUGGGGUUGAUGAUGAGUUUGUCGAGGAAACAGAGCACAUUGUUGAACCGUGGGCGCUGACUCGGCUCCUUCUGCCAGCAGUGUAACAUCAGCUGGUGCAGCGUCACCGGGCAGCCCGUUGGAGCAGUACGGCCUCUCGCCAUAUGACAUCACCUCCCACAUGACGAUGCCAAAACUCCAGACAUCGCUGACUGAGGAGAACUUUCCAUAAGCAAUUGCCUCUGGUGCUGUCCAGCGUAUCGUCAGAAACCUUACACACCAAGUUUUCAUCGACCAGAAUGUUGCGAGCCGCCAGGUCUCUGUGAACGUAACCCAUGUCUGAGAGGUAGGCCAUGCCCACUGCGAUGCCGCGCAUCAUCCCCACGAGCU
Molecule: long non-coding RNA, 1085 nt
Organism: Syngnathoides biaculeatus (alligator pipefish)
Lineage: Eukaryota; Metazoa; Chordata; Actinopteri; Syngnathiformes; Syngnathidae
Exons: 5
Source: RefSeq, a predicted model, not a curated record